ACUUCUCGAUAUUCCCCCCACUUCUCGAGAUUCCCCCCACUUCUCGAGAUUCACCCCACUUCUCGAGAUUCCCCUCAAUUCUCGAUAUUCCCCCCACUUCCCGAUAUUCCCUCCACUUCUCGAUAUUCCCCCCACUUCUCGAUGUUUCCAGGCUCUUGGCACGGCUCGGUGGAAAGAUCCCCCUUUUCCUCCCACAGCGGCUCCGGAAUGUGUGCGGAAUUUGAAGCUGGGCCGAGAGCUUGGGGCGAGCCCACCGAAAGGCAGGGAAGAGCGUGCAGAGCGGCACGGAGCUCUGGCAUCCCCGCAGUGCAGCGAGCGCAUCUCGCCCUUGGCGGGAUCAGGAGGCGCAGGAACCGCGCAGGUUACGGGAUGAGUGUGCCAGGCGAUAUGGAGCGAGCAGCAGCGGCACACCAGCGCUUGUCUGCUGUGCUGUCUGCGCUCUUUAAUAGAAAUUGCCCUUUCUGGGGGUUUUAUUAAGAAGAUUUUUGUCUUCUUUCUAUUAUCUCUGUAAGCACCAGAGUGAAGCAUUCGUGUCUGCCGGCCAGUCUGGCAGUUUUAUGUUUCCAGAAUCUGCUGGGAAAAAGUCGGAACCCGCAGAAACACAAGAUUCCCCUGGCAUCACGUUGGUUUGUUCCUGUCAGCAUAUUUAAUCAUUUUUAUGCUAAAGAAUUGUGCAGUGAGCUGAUCUUAGCAAUGAUUUACUCUGCUUGAGGCUUUAUUGAUUUUUUUUCUUUAGCAAGGACAUAAGGAAAGGAGUGAAGGAAGGAUGACACGGUUUGUAAAGAAAAAAAUUCAGUGUACGUUUGAAGUGUAGUCGCUGUUAAAUAUAUAGACAUAUACACGAUGCUUUAUGCAGCUAUAAAAACAAAAGGUCUCUUUGCCUCAGGAUAUUUCUCUUACAGCAACAGGUAGCAAAGGCUCCUCUGUCCCCUUCUCUCCCCUUAUCUCCUCCCCUUCAGCUCCUCCUGACAAAAUGCCAGUUUAAAAGGUCAGAGUGUUUAUGUAAAUAUUGUGCUUUUCUUAACAAAGACUGCUACGCGUCAAGCCUGCAAUGACUGUCAAAUAGACUCAAGACAUUCAGUGAGGGUACUGUGGGUUUCCUAAGACUGAUAAAAUCUGGCAGAAAACAAAG
RNAcentral lists this long non-coding RNA (1132 nucleotides) under Cyanistes caeruleus (blue tit). Its description in RNAcentral is "lncRNA (ENSCCEG00000020475.1)". Lineage: Eukaryota; Metazoa; Chordata; Aves; Passeriformes; Paridae. The record is from RNAcentral.